AUGCUUUAUGUCACUGGUUCAGUUCUCCUGACCCUCUUAAUGUUCCGGAGGAGCAAUGGAGACUCAGUGACCCAAACAGCAGGCCUGGUUACUCUUAUAGAGGGGGCACCUGUGACCUUGAACUGUACUUACCAGACCACUUAUUCAGGAUCUUUCCUUUACUGGUAUGUCCAGUAUAUUGAUAAAGGUCCUCAGCUGCUCCUGAAGAGUGCAACAGAAAACCAGAAGACAGAGAGCCAAGGUUUUCAUGCCACUCUUGUUAAGAAGGAGAACUCCUUCCACCUGCAGAAACCUGCAGUCCAACCCUCAGACUCAGCUGUGUACUACUGCGCUGCGGGAGACACAGUGAGGGGAACUGCAGGGGGAACUGAGCACAAACCCACAGGGGCACAGGAGGGCCUGGGAGGGGAGGGUUAUUUUCUCUUCCUGGGCAGUGUGUAG
Ictidomys tridecemlineatus (thirteen-lined ground squirrel) is the source of this 441-nucleotide non-coding RNA. NCBI's taxonomy places the organism in Eukaryota, Metazoa, Chordata, Mammalia, Rodentia, Sciuridae. The record is from the annotation of a RefSeq genome assembly.